RNAcentral lists this non-coding RNA (96 nucleotides) under Rufibacter tibetensis. RNAcentral describes it as "TPP sequence". It matches the Rfam family "TPP riboswitch aptamer (THI element)". Rfam says of the family: Vitamin B(1) in its active form thiamin pyrophosphate (TPP) is an essential coenzyme that is synthesised by coupling of pyrimidine and thiazole moieties in bacteria. Lineage: Bacteria; Pseudomonadati; Bacteroidota; Cytophagia; Cytophagales; Hymenobacteraceae. The record is from Rfam by way of RNAcentral.
GGUUGGCUUUAGGGGCGUUCCAAUGUUGGAACUGAGAUAGUACCCUUUGAACCUGAUCCAGGUCAUACUGGCGUAGGGAAAAGCAUGGAAGGCAUU